CGGACGGGUGAGUAACACGUGGGCAACCUGCCUGUAAGACUGGGAUAACCCCGGGAAACCGGGGCUAAUACCGGAUAACACCGGACUCCACAUGGAGUCCUGUUGAAAGAUGGCUUCUCGCUAUCACUUACAGAUGGGCCCGCGGCGCAUUAGCUAGUUGGUGAGGUAACGGCUCACCAAGGCGACGAUGCGUAGCCGACCUGAGAGGGUGAUCGGCCACACUGGGACUGAGACACGGCCCAGACUCCUACGGGAGGCAGCAGUAGGGAAUCUUCCGCAAUGGACGAAAGUCUGACGGAGCAACGCCGCGUGAACGAUGAAGGUCUUCGGAUCGUAAAGUUCUGUUGUCAGGGAAGAACAAGUGCCGUGCGAAUAGAGCGGCACCUUGACGGUACCUGACGAGGAAGCCCCGGCUAACUACGUGCCAGCAGCCGCGGUAAUACGUAGGGGGCAAGCGUUGUCCGGAAUUAUUGGGCGUAAAGCGCGCGCAGGCGGUUUCUUAAGUCUGAUGUGAAAGCCCACGGCUCAACCGUGGAGGGUCAUUGGAAACUGGGGAACUU
This 560-nucleotide ribosomal RNA is filed under the name Thalassobacillus sp. NH89-84. Its description in RNAcentral is "bacterial SSU rRNA". It matches the Rfam family "Bacterial small subunit ribosomal RNA", at positions 99 to 643 of the family's 1533-position model. Lineage: Bacteria; Bacillati; Bacillota; Bacilli; Caryophanales; Bacillaceae. The record is from RNAcentral.